UUUGCAAAACAAAAAAACGCGUAAAAGUUUCUAUUUCUGAAUAGAAACUUCAAAUGUUUGAUAUAUUUUUCACAAUUUAUUCCUGAAAUAUUAAAACAUAAAAAUGAUCAACAAUUUUUAUAUCCAGUAUCUUAAUCUAUUCUCAUAAAAGUGCCAUAAAAAUCAUAUGUCCUUUGAAGGACUCUGAUGAUUUUCUUCAUGUAUAUUAUUUGCAUCUGCUAAUCUUCUUAUGUCACGAGAUGAUGAAGGUUCACUUCCUGCUUUAGAAGCCUAUAAAAAACAAAAUAAUUAUUAUAUUAGAGCAUCACUAGAAUUAUUAAAUGAGAUAUAUCAUCACUAUUUUCUUGGUGGUGUACUUGUUUAUGUGAGAUGUUGUAUUUUUGCAGUUUACGGUAUCUUGUUUUUGGUUAUUAGAAUUGUAAAACAUUUUGUAGUUGGUCGUGUAUCGUGCGAGCAUACAUCUAGUUAUAUUAAAACUCAUAACAACAUAAGAUACGUUAUAGGGAUAAGCAGCAAAGCUACAUAAUUUUGACUACCACUCCAAAAUUGAAAAUCUUAAUCCCGUAAUUGGCCGUGCAUCUUGUGGGCAUACAUCUAGUUAUAUUAAAACUCAUAACAACAUAAGAUAUGCUCUGGACAUGAACAAGAAAGCCACACAAUUUUGACUACCACUCCAAAAUCAAAAGUCUCAAUCCCAUUAUGUCUCGUGCAUCGCGCGGACACGGGCAUAAAUCUUGUUAUAUAUAAAACUCAUAACAACAUGAGACACAUCUAGUUAUAUAUAAAACGCAUAAGAGCUACACAAUUUUAGCGUCCACCAAAAUAAAAAAUCUAACCAAUUUUCUUAUCAUAAUUCCAAAUGAAAAUUAAGCAUCUUUCCCAAAUUGAUAUACCUUAUAAAUUAUGACACAGAAAAGCAUGCAAAUUUAGGCACAAACCCCUAAACUCAAGCAUGUGGCAUGACCUUCACUUCCGUUUCAUUUUUAUUUAUUUUUUAUCUAAUCGAUUUGAUUCCAAUUUUUAAACUACUUUUUGUUUUUUUACAUAUUUAUUAUAUUACUAUAGCAUUAUAUCCCAUGCUUCGACCUAUCAAAUUCAUGCCAUUUCUUGUCCUAUAUACGUGCCUAUAAAUAACUCUAUCAAUCUUGUCUCUAAUCAUUAUUAACUUCCUCAUUCCUUAAUUUCAUCAAAACUACAAUUAUAACGUUUAUGUCAUGGAUUCUGGUCUCUGCGUAGUGUUGGUAAGAUGAAGGGUUCUAUGUGGGGCUAUUCUGGUGCUCAUGUUGAUAAAUUCUCCGCCAAGUUGCCAUGGAAGGAAACACUUUCUUUUCCAUUUCAUGAUAAUAAUUCCUUAGAACCUGUUGUUACUAACUACUUUAACUCCACAUUUAAUAUUACUAUUUCAAAAUAAUUUUUUAUAUUAAUUUAUCAAUGUUUAUAAUAAUUUUUAUUAGGGUGGCAAAACAAGCCGUCAGACACCCGUUUUGUCCGUAUUUUUUCGCGGGAUCAGUCAAAUUUUAGACUCACACCCUCAAAUAUUCAUCCCGCCAUCAUAUUCUUAAGAGGCAAAUCAAAGUUUUAAGUUCGCACCUUCAAUUAUAUUUGUACCUAAAUAAAAACAAACUAAUUAUGUAUUAAACCAACAUAAUAAUGAGAUAAUUUGUCAUGUUUGAAUAACUCAUUUCACACACAACAUGAAACAAACCUAUACUAAUACCAACUAGUGAACAUCCUGAAACUUAAGAAUACAUACAUUAGACAUUGUAAGUAUUUAAUGCAAUCCAAACACUAACAGAAAGAAAAACGAAGAUACACGAAACAACCCCAUUCUACCAACAAAGAAGUCUCAUUUUCUAAUUGUUGUAAAUAAACCAUGUUAAUAUUUAUGCAUCAAACAACUACAAGGAUAAGGAAAAACUCACCAGCUAGCAAAUAGAGUUAUGAAUCCAACAAUUUAGUUGAAGAAACCACUGCGUAUCUAUCAAUAAAUAACCACAACAUAAAAUAUUAUGAUAAGAUUCAUACAAGUAAGUCAAAAGGAAAUGACACAGUGAGAUACAACAGCAAGCAAAAACAACUAACAAAGUAAGAUUCAUCCACAAUAUUGUUCAGAAUUUGGAUAUAGUUGUUAAAAACCAUUGAAUAUAAUCGAAUUCGGUGGCCCAAAUUAUAAGAUUAACCAGAGGACUAAGAAAACAUUACCAUUCAAAUUAUCCUAACGACACUCUUACACAAGAAUAUAUCAAGAACUUAAACUUAGAAAAAAAUCCAAAUGAAUAUAGAAUAAUAUAUUCAAAAAAUGUUAAUCUUGUGAAGAGGUUAAUAAAAUUAUCAGCUGAGUCCCAUAAACCAUAACAGUUAUGUCAAUGUCAAAAAUCAUGUAAUGAAAAACGAAAGCAUAUUAUUACCUUAGAAUUGGUGGUUUGUGGAAUUGUGGACUGUUGAGUAGAAAAAUAGAGCAAUAAAACGCCCGAUUGCAGAAUUGCAGAUUACGGAGCAGCAGAACAGAGCAGCUAAAAACCUGAUUCUGGAACAGCAGAAAACCUGAUUGUUAGGGUUCCAUAUUGAUAAUAAUAUUGAAUAAGUGUAAUUAUAAUUUCAAAUAAUUGUUAGGGUUUGAAUUUGAAUGAAAGGAAUAAAUUGAGAUCAAAAGGGUUUACCUGAAACUGGACAGAAGGAAAGGAAUAAGAGAAAUUUGAAACCGAAGUGGAAAUUCAUAGAAGAAAGUUGAAAAUCGGAGAAGAAAUCUGAAAAUACCGGAGAGAGUUGAGAUGAAUUAGGGUCAUU
RNAcentral lists this long non-coding RNA (2787 nucleotides) under Lathyrus oleraceus (garden pea). Its description in RNAcentral is "Pisum sativum (pea) long non-coding RNA (PSAT_LNC037490)". Lineage: Eukaryota; Viridiplantae; Streptophyta; Magnoliopsida; Fabales; Fabaceae. The record is from RNAcentral.